Molecule: long non-coding RNA, 462 nt
Organism: Tripterygium wilfordii
Lineage: Eukaryota; Viridiplantae; Streptophyta; Magnoliopsida; Celastrales; Celastraceae
Exons: 2
Source: RefSeq, a predicted model, not a curated record
CAAAGGUCAUUUUAUUUGGUUUUUUGGAGGCGAAGUCAGAGAGGGGAAAGCCCGAUAAAUCCUGAUAGGGAAAUUUGCAUGCUUAUGCCAUUAGAAAGAAUUAGAAGGAAAUGAGGUUGAUUCAUGAACAACAAUGAAGGCUUCUUUUUCCCUAAAAUGAUUUCAGAGGAAGAAAAACUGCAAUUUGGAGGCGUACUCGGUACUUCACAUUUUAUCAGACAUUUAACGCGCCCAGGAGCGCACUAAGACAGAGUACGUAUCUUCACUGCGUCAAGGAAGAAGAGACAUUGAGUACGUACAUCUUUACGAGUACAAGAGCAACGGAAGGUAAGGAAUAUAUCCUUUGUUAACCUCUCUAGAUGCUGCCUGUGUGGUGAUUCAGCUGAGCUGACAUCAGAAACCUGAGAGUAGCCUGCAUGGAAGAUCAAAGUACAGAGAAACAUUUCAAAAGGUUUUAGACUG